GCUGUGAUGAACAAUUUUCAAAUUGAUCCACGGAGUGAAAAAACAUUGAAUUACCUCUGAGAAGUUCUGAGCUC
Molecule: small nucleolar RNA, 74 nt
Organism: Silurus meridionalis
Lineage: Eukaryota; Metazoa; Chordata; Actinopteri; Siluriformes; Siluridae
Product: small nucleolar RNA SNORD61
Exons: 1
Source: RefSeq, a predicted model, not a curated record